This 685-nucleotide long non-coding RNA is filed under the name Equus asinus (donkey). Its description in RNAcentral is "lncRNA (ENSEASG00005031533.1)". The record is from RNAcentral. Lineage: Eukaryota; Metazoa; Chordata; Mammalia; Perissodactyla; Equidae.
UGCCUUCCUGGCUGCAAGAAAUUCACUAAAGGAAGCUUUCUUGGCACAUCGUUCCUCAUGCGGAUGCUUCAAGACAGUGGCUUUCACUACUGAAAGGCAACGAGUACCUGGAAUGCAGGUGGUGCCAUCUUGAAGCAUGAGGUUGAGACCAUGCACUACAGAGCAACCAGGAAUUUUAAAGGUUGAAUUUCUAUGAUUCCGUGCCUGAUCUUUUGUGGUUGAGAGGAGGAACAGAGUGGCUGUCACAGAUUUGGCUCUUCUGUCUGUCACAUGGAUUGAAAGCGGAGCCUCCGGAAUUGGAGACUGCUGGGAGGAUACAGAGAACCAGAAAUAUGGAUUCCAAUGAGAACACCGUGCAGAGUUUCUGUAUUAUUUAUCCAACUUCCAUAUAAUCUGACAAUUUAUCAUCUGGGAUACCACCUUUGUUCAAGCCACUGUCACCUUUUACCUGACAUGGUCACUUGGAUCCCCCUGAAAUUCCAUGAGGAAAUAAGAACUGGAGGCCCAGGGAAGAGAAAUGGAAGAUUGCCUAUUUGAAAACUGCUGUUGUGGCUCAAUAUCUUCACUUUUUCAAUAAGAAGUUUGAGAUUUAGGAAAAGCAAUUGCCUUUGCUUACCCAGCCAGGACUAAAACAAGGAUAUUCUUAUUCAUAUCAGAAGAAAGUUUCCAAUAAAAAGCAUCCCUA